CCUACGGGCGGCUGCAGUCGAGAAUCAUUCACAAUGGGGGAAACCCUGAUGGUGCGACGCCGCGUGGGGGAAUGAAGGUCUUCGGAUUGUAAACCCCUGUCAUGUGGGAGCAAAUUAAAAAGAUAGUACCACAAGAGGAAGAGACGGCUAACUCUGUGCCAGCAGCCGCGGUAAUACAGAGGUCUCAAGCGUUGUUCGGAAUCACUGGGCGUAAAGCGUGCGUAGGCUGUUUCGUAAGUCGUGUGUGAAAGGCGCGGGCUCAACCCGCGGACGGCACAUGAUACUGCGAGACUAGAGUAAGGGAGGGGGAACCGGAAUUCUCGGUGUAGCAGUGAAAUGCGUAGAUAUCGAGAGGAACACUCGUGGCGAAGGCGGGUUCCUGGACAGUAACUGACGCUGAGGCACGAAGGCCAGGGGAGCGAAAGGGAUUAGAUACCCCAGUAGUC
RNAcentral lists this ribosomal RNA (446 nucleotides) under uncultured bacterium. RNAcentral describes it as "partial 16S ribosomal RNA". It matches the Rfam family "Bacterial small subunit ribosomal RNA", at positions 338 to 795 of the family's 1533-position model. The record is from RNAcentral.